This 346-nucleotide unclassified non-coding RNA is filed under the name soil metagenome. Its description in RNAcentral is "partial contains 5.8S ribosomal RNA, internal transcribed spacer 2, and large subunit ribosomal RNA". The stretch from base 1 to 120 matches the Rfam family "5.8S ribosomal RNA", at positions 35 to 154 of the family's 154-position model. The record is from RNAcentral.
GAUGAAGAACGCAGCGAAAUGCGAUAAGUAAUGUGAAUUGCAGAAUUCAGUGAAUCAUCGAAUCUUUGAACGCACAUUGCGCCCGCCAGUAUUCUGGCGGGCAUGCCUGUCUGAGCGUCAUUUCAACCCUCAUGCCCCUAGGGCGUGGUGUUGGGGAUCGGCCAAAGCCCGCGAGGGACGGCCGGCCCCUAAAUCUAGUGGCGGACCCGUCGUGGCCUCCUCUGCGAAGUAGUGAUAUUCCGCAUCGGAGAGCGAUGAGCCCCUGCCGUUAAACCCCCAACUUUCCAAGGUUGACCUCAGAUCAGGUAGGAAUACCCGCUGAACUUAAGCAUAUCAAAGCGGAGGA